UUGAGAUUCAUUGUUAAAGAGGUAGUCUUGCCCUCAUCUUCUCUUUAUGAGCUUUUUUUGUGGUUCUUAUUUUGGAAUUCAACUAGGAAAUUAACUGUGAUUUGAUCUGUUGAAGUUAUUUUGGGCACAUAUUUAUAAAGGGAACAUAAAAUAUUGUGCUUAAGCUGGCUUGCUAAAAACUUUCAAGGAGUUGUUACUGGUACAGAAAGGUCAAUUAAAAUAUGGAUUUUCAUUUCUUGGUUGGGGGCUUUACUCCAGGUUGAUCCAACUACUGGCGAAG
This 280-nucleotide unclassified non-coding RNA is filed under the name Hevea brasiliensis (rubber tree). Lineage: Eukaryota; Viridiplantae; Streptophyta; Magnoliopsida; Malpighiales; Euphorbiaceae. The record is from RNAcentral.